AUUGAACGCUGGCGGCAGGCCUAACACAUGCAAGUCGAGCGGUAACACAGGGAGCUUGCUCCCGGGUGACGAGCGGCGGACGGGUGAGUAAUGUCUGGGAAACUGCCUGAUGGAGGGGGAUAACUACUGGAAACGGUAGCUAAUACCGCAUAAUGUCGCAAGACCAAAGAGGGGGACCUUCGGGCCUCUUGCCAUCAGAUGUGCCCAGAUGGGAUUAGCUAGUAGGUGGGGUAACGGCUCACCUAGGCGACGAUCCCUAGCUGGUCUGAGAGGAUUACCAGCCACAAUGGAACUGUGACACGGGCCAGGCUCCUACGGGAGGCAGCAGUGGGGAAUAUGGCACAAUGGGCUCAAGGCUGAUGCUGCCAUGCAGCGUGUAUGAAGAAGGGCUUCGGGUUGGAGAGUACUUUCAGCGUGGGGGAAGGCGGUGAGGUUAAUAACCUGGCCGAUUGACGUUACCCGCAGAAGAAGCACCGGCUAACUCCGUGCCAGCCGCCGCAGUAA
RNAcentral lists this ribosomal RNA (504 nucleotides) under uncultured bacterium. RNAcentral describes it as "partial 16S ribosomal RNA". It matches the Rfam family "Bacterial small subunit ribosomal RNA", at positions 29 to 523 of the family's 1533-position model. The record is from RNAcentral.